RNAcentral lists this ribosomal RNA (547 nucleotides) under fungal sp. KRCF728. RNAcentral's name for it is "eukaryotic LSU rRNA". The stretch from base 194 to 347 matches the Rfam family "5.8S ribosomal RNA". The record is from RNAcentral. Lineage: Eukaryota; Fungi.
CCCAGCGGAGGGAUCAUUGCUGGAACGCGCUUCGGCGCACCCAGAAACCCUUUGUGAACUUAUACCUAUUGUUGCCUCGGCGUAGGCCGGCCUCUUCACUGAGGCCCCCUGGAAACAGGGAGCAGCCCGCCGGCGGCCAACCAAACUCUUGUUUCUACAGUGAAUCUCUGAGUAAAAAACAUAAAUGAAUCAAAACUUUCAACAACGGAUCUCUUGGUUCUGGCAUCGAUGAAGAACGCAGCGAAAUGCGAUAAGUAAUGUGAAUUGCAGAAUUCAGUGAAUCAUCGAAUCUUUGAACGCACAUUGCGCCCUCUGGUAUUCCGGAGGGCAUGCCUGUUCGAGCGUCAUUUCAACCCUCAAGCCUGGCUUUGGUGAUGGGGCACUGCCUGUAAAAGGGCAGGCCCUGAAAUCUAGUGGCGAGCUCGCCAGGACUCGCCAGGACCCCAGCGUAGUAGUUAUAUCUCGCUCUGGAAGCCCUGGCGGGUGCCCUGCCGUUAAACCCCAACUUCUGAAAUUGACCUCGGAUAGGUAGGAUUACCGCUGACUA